Molecule: ribosomal RNA, 442 nt
Filed under: uncultured bacterium
Lineage: Bacteria
Description: partial 16S ribosomal RNA
Rfam family: Bacterial small subunit ribosomal RNA
Source: RNAcentral
CUACGGGUUGCACCAGUGGGGAAUAUUGGGCAAUGGGCGCAAGCCUGACCCAGCAACGCCGCGUGAGGGAAGAAGGUUUUCGGAUUGUAAACCUCUGUCCUUGGGGACGAAGAAGUGACGGUACCCAAGGAGGAAGCUCCGGCUAACUACGUGCCAGCAGCCGCGGUAAUACGUGAGGGAGCAAGCGUUGUCCGGAAUUACUGGGCGUAAGGGGUGCGUAGGCGGCAUAUUAAGUCAGGUGUGAAAUACUCGGGCUCAACCCGGGGGCUGCAUUUGAAACUGAUAUGCUUGAGUGUGAGAGAGGAAAGUGGAAUUCCUAGUGUAGCGGUGGAAUGCGUAGAUAUUAGGAGGAACACCAGUGGCGAAGGCGACUUUCUGGCUCAUAACUGACGCUGAGGCACGAAAGCGUGGGGAGCAAACAGGAUUAGAUACCCUGGUAGUC